UUCUCCCAUCUCUGACUGAUACUGCAAUGUAUUGAGCUUUGAUUCUGUGAAUGCCCAUUUAAUUCUGACAAGAUAAAUUCACUUUAUGUAUUGUGCUGUAGCACAAGUUUACACUUCUAAUUUUAUGAGUAAGUAAGAUAAAAAAUGGAGGAAUUCUCUUUUCUGCCAUUGAAAUUCACAGUUUUACCAUUUAAAAGCCAACCAGAAAGAUAUUACUAUAGCCACAGCUGGUAGAUAAUAUUUACCAUAUCUACUAAUUGGGUAUAUUUAAUUAAUGCCUGAAAUUUCAAUUUAUUUAUGAAACAAGAAAGAAUACACAAGAGUAAAAUUAGAAAGGUGGUCCCUAAUUGCUUUUAAUGACUAUUCUGAAUAACAGUAUUAAGUAUACAUAUGCAUCCAGUCAACAACCUCCAAAGUUACAUUUCAGCAUCCUCAUACCCAAAGAAGCAAAAAAUAAAAAUCCGAAUAGUUUGAACCAAGAAUAAAACUUUUAUACAACUUACAUUUCUCUUUGAAUCUUUUAUUUCUGUAACACAAUCCCAGAACCCUGAUUCAAACACCUGGGCAAACACUAGAUAACCUCUUUGCUCCAGGCCAAUGCUUCCCAAUUAAAUUCAGUGUUUGCUAAUACUGUUCCAAUUAAGCAGUGGUGGUGCUUUGUGCUGUCUUAAGGUUAAAAAUCCCCUGGGAACAUCAGUACAGCUAUCCAUUAGAUACACUCUAAAGAUUUUAUCUAUCUCAAUAAAAAGAAAAAAAACUCUAGCAAAAUGGUUAGCAGAGAAAUCUCAAAAUUUACUUGCCACUUUCUAUCCACUUCACUAAAAUUCUUUCUGUAAAUAAAGGAUUGCCCAUACUGCAGUGGUAAUAUCUUGCAAUCACAUCUUUUGGGGUUUGGUGUUUGUUUUUUUUUUUCUUUUUUUUCCCUUGAGGAUAAAAUCUGAAAAGCACAGAAUUUUUGCUUUAAAAAUUACAAAAUAGAACAUCAGAAAGUCAAACCAUUCUUGUUGCUGCUGUUUUUUUCUCCAAAUUAAAUAUAAAUUGUGACAGAAAAUUUCACACAUAGGGAUUAAGUUUUAACACAGUUUCUUUGUUUGCAGUUAGUAGAGAACGGCACCUUGAGUAAAGCAUUCAUUCCAUUUCUAUACACUUCUGGCAAUCU
This 1159-nucleotide long non-coding RNA is filed under the name Taeniopygia guttata (zebra finch). RNAcentral describes it as "lncRNA (ENSTGUG00000020453.1)". The record is from RNAcentral. Lineage: Eukaryota; Metazoa; Chordata; Aves; Passeriformes; Estrildidae.